GGAUGCGAGGGAGAUCUAGCUGUGACAUCAAUCCUCAGGGCUAACUCAGCUUCUCUGGGGGUGAAGCAAGGGUCCCCCUACUUCUCUCACAACUCCAUGUGUGCUUGCCAAAGCUGCAUGCUCAGUUGAAGAUGACAACCUUCUCCUGUAGAAGAUGUUCUUCAUUAAAGCACGGCUCACUAGCUGCCCUUCCCCACUAGAACCUGCAAACAAACUCACAAAUCCUAGUAGGAAACAGAAUCGGCAGUGAGGCCCCUUCAAAUCACAGAUUAAUGACUCAGGAACAGAGAGUCUUUUG
RNAcentral lists this small nuclear RNA (298 nucleotides) under Chinchilla lanigera (long-tailed chinchilla). RNAcentral describes it as "7SK RNA (ENSCLAG00000022086.1)". It matches the Rfam family "7SK RNA". From Rfam's summary of the family: 7SK was discovered as an abundant small nuclear RNA in the mid-70s but a possible function has only recently been suggested. The record is from Rfam by way of RNAcentral. Lineage: Eukaryota; Metazoa; Chordata; Mammalia; Rodentia; Chinchillidae.